This is a long non-coding RNA of Pseudopipra pipra, 2701 nucleotides long. RefSeq lists it as uncharacterized. Lineage: Eukaryota; Metazoa; Chordata; Aves; Passeriformes; Pipridae. The record is from RefSeq and is a predicted model, not a curated record. The transcript has 4 exons.
UCCGCAGAUGAAAAUCUGGAAAACUGAAAGUUCUGGGUGAAAACUAUUCUAAAUAUAAGAAGUAAUUUUGUGAGGCUGUGUGGUCUGUGUGGCAUCCUAUGAGUCUUGGUGUUUAAAGAAAGGAGAUUCCAAAGUAAGAAAGCCCAAGAGAAAAGUUUCCUGAGCACCUUGAGGAAGAUGUGAAAGCAGCAGCAAACAGAAAGCAAGACUGGCAUUUGAGCAGUUCUUGGGAGACACCUGGACCAUCAGGAGCGUGACCAUCAUAACCAGUAAAUAAGGUGGGCUACUGGAUCUGUAUGGAAAACACUGGGGGAAAGAGUCGCCAAGUUUGAAACGGGCAGAAGAGAGAUGCUCUCAGUUGGUGGGUUUUGGUUGGGGGUUUUUUUUGUUUGUUGUUUGGAGGUUUUAUUUAUUUAUUUAUUUAAGAAAGAGAGCGGCGACGUCUCAACUAAAGCAGAGCAACAAGUCCGGGGAGGGGGCGGAUCCCCGGCCCGGGGGAAGGGGCUGCAGCGCCCGGAGCCCCCCGGGACGCGCGGGAGGUGAACAGGCGGUGCCCGCAGCACCCGGGGCUCGCCCGCACCGUCCCCGCGGCACAGGGCGCUCGUUCCACCCCGGUGCCACCCCGCACCGAGCGCGGGGCUGCCCUUCCCGGGGGCUCUCCCCUCCCCGGGGGGCUCGAGGGAAUGCCCGGUGCGGUGUCCGUGCGGGAGCUGAGGCGGUAGGAUGACAGAAUCGUUUGGGUUGGAAAAGACUCUUAAGACCAUCGAGUAAAGCUGGCAGUGCCAAGCCCGCCACUAAACCAUGUCCCCAAGUGCCACAUCUACACGGCUUUUAAGCCCCGCCGCGGGUGGGGACUCCACCCCUGCCCCGGGCAGGCUGUGCCAGGGCCGGGUGACUCUUUCGGGGGUUCUGUACGGUUGGUAUUGGAACAGCAGAGGGAAGUUGCAGAAAGUUCCUGUUACUGUCUCGUGCAUCGGGAAAGAGAUUCCUGCCAGGCUUGGCACGGACUGCCCUCCAGCAGCCGCCGCCGGCGCAGGGAGCAGCGGUGGUGGUCUCUUUAGCAUCACUUUUCGUGCUCGUUUUUUACUCGGUGUUUUUGCGUGAAAACACAUGAACUAAAUCCUUGGGGCUCCGCAGCGAGCCCUGGUGAGUCGUCAUGUGCUGGUGGUCCCCUCUGCAACUCUUAAUUGGUAACUUGGAGAUGGAGAGAGUCCUUAUUAGCAAAUCGCAUUUCCCCCCACCUCCCCCCCGCAUCCCUCCGCUCCCGCUGAAGCCAACUCCAUGAGGCGAUUGCCAGGAGGAGCCGUUUGUCAAAGGCUAAUAAACAAAUUCCUCGCGAGCACCUGAAUGAACGAGGGCCAGGAACAACCCAAUUAAGAAACGGAGCUACUGGUUGUUUUUUUGUGGCGGUGGAAACAAUCCGGGCUCGAAAAGGGUCUAUUCAGGGGGCGCUCCGAGAGGUCUGUUUGCAGCCCGCUAUUGUUGUCAGAAGCCAAAUAAAAGUUCAGCUGGGGAAGGGGAAGAGAACUGAUUAAAAACAACAUUCGCCGCUGCCUCCUAAACGCACUGGGAGGCUCAGUUCAAAGGGAUCGAUCUGUGCCCAAACGACACUGGCCGGGUUUACCCACGCACUUAAGAUUUUUGUUCUUAAAUGUUGCGAUUUUUAAUGAUGUCAUCACAAGUAACUCCUGCUUUCCCGGAUCCGUGAGCAGCAGGGACAGCUGCAGACGCUGGUGCAGCUGCGAUAUCCAUGAGGCGAGGUGCUGGAGAAGUUAGAGAAAGGAGUUGGAGCUCGUUUGUCGGAACUAAUGAUUUGUUCUCCCUCUCACCGGGCUGAGAGGUCGGUCCGGCCAUGUCAGCCCCUCGGAGAGGGAGGCAGGAGCCUCGCAGGCAAUCUCGAGCUGGUUUGUUUUGGGUUUUUUUGUUGUUUGUUUGGGGUUUGUUGUUGUUGUUGUUGUUAGUUUUUGACGUGACACUUAGGUGGGGAAUAAUUAAAAAAAAUAUGUAUCCUAACGACCUUGGGCUGUGGAACCAGCCUGAAAUGGCCCAUUUAGCAGCCACUUUACCACGCUGGAGAAUUCUGCCGGAGGGUACGGAUUUGAGCUGAAACAAACAUCAAGCGAACUUUCAUCUUUAAGCAUCGCUAAAAGGGCUGGGCAUUUCUGGAGGAUCGUCCUAGCGAGGGUCAGCAGGGUCCAAACGAAAGGGGCGCCCAGCUCCGUUGUCUGGGCAAGUUUCGAGGACAAGUCCUCGCUAAUCUUGGUCGGGAAUUAGGCUGGGGACCAAGGGGAUAUUUUAAUAACAGGAUUAAACGGGGCCGAUUUCGUGCAUAGCGUUAGUCUUUAAAAGCCAGCGAUCAUCCUUGACGUUGUACCAAGACUCCCUCAAGCUCUUCUGGAGCUGCAAUUAAUAUCUGUUAAUGGCUGUUGUUUAUUAGGCGCUGAUUGAGUAAAAAGCAGACGGUCCCUUCCUUUCUCUCGCGUUCAUUUUGGAUUGUACUGUAAACUUCUUAUCUCGCCUCACCCUCCUUGGUAACCCACAUAAAUAAAUAAUAACAAGAAAAGGGCUUCUCAGCCUUUGACAACUGUAUUUACACAACCCCAAGCGUUCUCCAGCCCCCACCAGGCACAGGGGGCUCUCCGAGUCCCGGCCUCUGCCGACCAGGGAAUUUAGGGAAAUGGCUCCAAGCAUCGGGUUUCCC